RNAcentral lists this transfer RNA (57 nucleotides) under Clavinema parasiluri. RNAcentral's name for it is "tRNA-Leu". The record is from RNAcentral. Lineage: Eukaryota; Metazoa; Nematoda; Chromadorea; Rhabditida; Philometridae.
ACUGUCGUAGCAUAAAAGAAUGUGUUUGUUUUAAGGUCAGAAGAAUUAAGGGCGGUU